Long non-coding RNA from Nannospalax galili (Upper Galilee mountains blind mole rat), 296 nucleotides. RefSeq lists it as uncharacterized. The record is from RefSeq and is a predicted model, not a curated record. Lineage: Eukaryota; Metazoa; Chordata; Mammalia; Rodentia; Spalacidae. The transcript is spliced from 2 exons.
AAGAGGUCGAUUUGGCAGACGCUGCUGGCUAACCACCAACAUCUUUUAUAAUAAAAUGCCUUAGUUUUGUAAGACAUAUGGUCACCCAGUGAGUUGGAUUCUGAAAACAAAUGGACCUGAGUACCUUUGACCUGGUUCCCAGUGGCUGACAUGCAGUUACGAGCGCGUGAUCUGGACCUUGGACUCCGAGAUAGAAAUUUCCAGUUAAGGAUGGCAGAGUUGCCUAACCAGCCCAGCGCUAUCUGGGUCUGAGAUAUUUUGUGUAUGAAAAAUAAACGUUAACUAUGUUUAAGCCA